RNAcentral lists this non-coding RNA (162 nucleotides) under chicken gut metagenome. The record is from RNAcentral.
UGUCGUGAGGCAGGGUCUGAAGGAAGCAGGAGGCAAAAUCGCGGGCCUACGGACAGAAACCGCAUAUAAGGCUGAAUCAAGCGGAUGAGUCUGCAAAAUAAGGCGAAAUCCAGAACUGGGCUUGAAGAGUAAAUGCGGAGGCUAUAUGCGAGGAAGGUCAAU